CCAAAACUAGCCACUUGUCAUUUUCCAAUUGGUUCUUAAUGUGUUAGAAUUUUAUAAGAACCAAUUAGAAAAUAACAAGUUGCUAAUUUUGG
Molecule: microRNA precursor, 92 nt
Organism: Prunus persica (peach)
Lineage: Eukaryota; Viridiplantae; Streptophyta; Magnoliopsida; Rosales; Rosaceae
Rfam family: MIR6288 microRNA precursor family
Source: Rfam